AGUGAACGCUGGCGGCAGGCCUAAUACAUGCAAGUCGAACGGCAGCACAGUGGAGCUUGCUCCAUGGGUGGCGAGUGGCGGACGGGUGAGGAAUACAUGGGAAUCUGCCCAGUCGUGGGGGAUAACGUAUGGAAACGUACGCUAAUACCGCAUGCGCCCUUCGGGGGAAAGUCGGGGACCGCAAGGCCUGACGCGAUUGGAUGAGCCCAUGUUCGAUUAGCUAGUUGGCGGGGUAACGGCCCACCAAGGCGACGAUCGAUAGCUGGUCUGAGAGGAUGAUCAGCCACACUGGAACUGAGACACGGUCCAGACUCCUACGGGAGGCAGCAGUAGGGAAUAUUGGACAAUGGGCGCAAGCCUGAUCCAGCCAUGCCGCGUGAGUGAAGAAGGCCCUCGGGUUGUAAAGCUCUUUCAGCCGGGAAGAAAACGCAUGGGUUAAUACCCUGUGUGGAUGACGGUACCGGAAUAAGAAGCACCGGCUAACUACGU
RNAcentral lists this ribosomal RNA (489 nucleotides) under uncultured bacterium. RNAcentral's name for it is "bacterial SSU rRNA". It matches the Rfam family "Bacterial small subunit ribosomal RNA", at positions 29 to 506 of the family's 1533-position model. The record is from RNAcentral.